Molecule: ribosomal RNA, 440 nt
Filed under: uncultured bacterium
Lineage: Bacteria
Description: partial 16S ribosomal RNA
Rfam family: Bacterial small subunit ribosomal RNA
Source: RNAcentral
GUUAAAUGGGAGAUAAAAUUAUUAACAUCUUCGUGUUUCAGCUAACGCGGAAACACUCCGCCUGGGGACUACGGUCGCAAGAUUAAAACUCAAAGGAAUUGACGGAGAUCAGUACGUGCGGUGGAACAUGUGAUUUAAUGCGUCAAUACGCGCAAACCUUACCCUAUCUUGUUCCUUUCCUACCAAACCGAUUUAUAUAUGUUGAUUAUAAACCAAAUUUUAUAAAAGGUGGGAAAGAGAUCAGGUGUUGCAUGGUUGUCUUAAGUCCGUGCUGAUGAGUGUUCGGUUAAUUCCCUGAACGGACGGAACCCUUAGCUUUAAUUACUGUUUUUUUUAUAAAAUUUUUAUAAAUAAUAAGAUUUUAUUAGAGUGACUGCCUACGGAAUGUAGGAGGCAGGAUAGGAAUAAGUCAAAUCCUUAUGGCCUUUAUGAGAGGGGCU